This 401-nucleotide long non-coding RNA is filed under the name Homo sapiens (human). RNAcentral's name for it is "USP2 antisense RNA 1". The record is from RNAcentral. Lineage: Eukaryota; Metazoa; Chordata; Mammalia; Primates; Hominidae.
UGGGGGAUGGAGGGAUGGCGUCAGCGAUUCAAGACUGUUUUUCCUACCUGUUCAGCACUUCUUUCAGCGAUAUGAAGUUAAAUCCAGAUGUCGUCAUCAUCCACUUGUUCAAACAAGAGCCCAAGGAUCAUCCUAGAUUCCUUCUCACUUCCUCUCAAUCCAUCCCUGAAACAGCCAAACCACCAGCCAAGUUCCCACCUGGUGGGAAGCACUGUGCAGGUUCGUGGGGAUGCAGCCCUGCACAGCCCAGACUGGACUCCUUCCCCAUGGAACUCACAACACACGGGAGAGGCAGAGAGAUCCAAGCGCACAGAAAAACACAAGAAGAUUCAGCCCUGUCAUCUUGUGCAAAGUGAGUUCCACAUAAUUCAAUUAUAAAAUGAGAGAUUGUGUUUCUGUGA